Long non-coding RNA from Saccoglossus kowalevskii, 642 nucleotides. The record is from RefSeq and is a predicted model, not a curated record. NCBI's taxonomy places the organism in Eukaryota, Metazoa, Hemichordata, Enteropneusta, Harrimaniidae.
CACAACAGAUAAUUGAAAGUUCACAAACUUUACUUAAUGUAUUACAACGAGAAUCAUCCGUCUUGAAAGACAAAGGUGUUCCGGCAUUCACCAACCUACAGACAUAACUUCAUUUCACACGUUGUAUUUUAGAGAGUUCUCAGACGUUACUCAAUGUAUUGAAGCGUGAAUCACAAACUCUGGAUCACAAGCCGUCAGCCACGUCUGCUGGUCCCAGCAUGGUAACAGUGUCCAGACGUGAACAACUGACGUAAUGAAGACUGUAACUAUUUGUAUACAAAUGUAAUGUUGUGAGAAUUUUAUAGCCCUAUUGACCACAAGUUAGUUCUCCCACAUUCCCAGUCAGAUGAAGGCAAAUGUGGAUGUGUUUUGUUUAAAAUGCAUCAUUUACUACAACUUUGAUUAUCUAUUUUGUAAAAAUAAUACAUCAAAUUUCUGUGAAACUAUUUUUAAUCUUCGCCAAGUUUAUUUAAGAAAAGCAUUCUUGAAAAUGGACAAUUUAAGAUAUUAUUAUCCAAAGAAAAGUUGUUUAGAAAUGUAUAUAACACAUUGACAAUAUUAUUACAUCAGAAAAUAUCUUUGUACAAAGUUUUGCUCCUUAUUUCAUAGUUUAAUAAAAUGUAUGUACGAUGUUUAUUUAAA